AGUGAAUAAGGAAUUAAAAUAUAUAAAAUUUUGUGGAAACAGGAAAUUGUGAACAACUCAAAACAGCCGGUUUGUUAUACGAGAUCUAUACACUUUUGCAUGCGUUUGGACCAAUUGCCGAAGCACUUUUGCCACUCUGAUUGAGGAAUAAAAAGAAGUCAUUCGGUGCCAAGUUAGGACUAUACGGCAUAUGAUUCAUGUUUUGGAUCCUAAAAAAUUGAGUUGUUUCGUAUUUUUUGGAGCAUAUCUUUCGACCAAUCGACACGAGCCUUUUUGAGCGAUUAACAAAUUGCGUGGGACCCAACGCGAAAAAAUUUCUUUUUUGGUCAAAUAUUCAUGCAAUAUUGAAUGUAUGCUGGUCCCACUUAUGCUUAAGGUUGUCUCAAUCUCAUGAUAGGUCACAUGACGAUCUUGCAAUAUCAGUUGGCGCACAGCAUCAUUGGUUUUUGGAACAACAACUAAUUUUGGACGACCUUAAGAAAAUUCGUCUAGGAGUGAACUACUACCUUGUUUGAAUUCACCAUACCAUCGAUAAACACUAGUCCUUAAUGGAGCUUCAUCUCCAAAAAAUGCAUAAAGUUCAUCGAUGCAUUGUAGUUGAGGUAAUCCACGUCGAAAGUUGUAAAAAAUAAUCGCACGAAAGUGUUCAUGAUUCAAUUCAAUUUUUUGGGCGAGAUGAAUCUUUUAAGUUACUGUAAACAACACAAAUAAUGAUCGUAUGUCAAAACGUACGUACUCGGAACGUACGUGUCAAGCUUUACAUAGCGCUGUCAGUUGGCAGAUUGCAACACAAGGGUUGUCCAACCCGAAAUAUAGAAGGGAAUCCUCGCCGUUAAUAUGCGAUCUAUAUCACCUUAUUGACUGAUUUGAACCAUAUUCGUCUCGGACAUUAGGAGUCGUAACAAAAAAAUGUUAUGACAAAUUUCAGCCAAAUCGGUUAAGAAUCGCGCCC
Long non-coding RNA from Stomoxys calcitrans (stable fly), 952 nucleotides. RefSeq lists it as uncharacterized. The record is from RefSeq and is a predicted model, not a curated record. NCBI's taxonomy places the organism in Eukaryota, Metazoa, Arthropoda, Insecta, Diptera, Muscidae. The transcript has 3 exons.